Molecule: long non-coding RNA, 1092 nt
Organism: Sipha flava (yellow sugarcane aphid)
Lineage: Eukaryota; Metazoa; Arthropoda; Insecta; Hemiptera; Aphididae
Exons: 8
Source: RefSeq, a predicted model, not a curated record
UAAAAUGAGCGAAAAAAGAAAAAGUGGCACAUCCCUUCAACGAGAAAAAAAUAAAAAGUUAUUAGUAGCAAUUGAUUUCUCUUGUCAUAUUAUGGCUAGUAUGUUUAAAAAAAUCGAAAACAAUCUGAUGAAAAGUGUUUAAUCUGAUAUUAUUGAAAGCAAAAACGAAUCAAAUGAUAAUGUUUAUUAUGUAGUUAAGUAACAUAAAAUCAAUCAACAUGACUGUAGAUAUAAUUAUUUCAAAUUAUGCGGGUCAUAGUUCAUUUUUUAAAUGAAGAUUGCAUAUUAACUGUGCCAGAAACAUGGUACCAAAGGAAGGGAAAUGCACGAGCAUGAAGAAAAAAGAUUAUCCUACCAAAAAAGAAUACAAGUGGUUACCUGCAAGAGUUCUAGGCCGAAAAUAUGCAACUUUUAAAGAGGCUCGUGCUAAAUCAAAAAUGGCACAACUUUUAAGCGAUUUAUCAGAAAUGAUACUAGUACAUAUAGAUCAAAUAAAAAUGAAUUAAAAAGAAAAAUGGAGAGUCCUCCUUUUCUAAAGCCUAAUAGAAAAAUAAAGAAGAAUUGUAAAAAAGAGGCCAUUAAUGUUAUUGAAUAGUCAGACUUUGAAGACUAUAAUUCUGACAAAGACCCAAAGUAUCGCCAACCAUUAGUACAUUUAAUAGCUUCACCAGGAUCUUGCAAAGUGAUGCACAAGUUAAUGGGAAUAGUAAUUAAAUUUUGAAGUCCCCUAUUGGAAAAAAUUUUAAUUGAAACUGCAGAUGAUUACAAUUUUAAUAAUAAAUUGCCAACACUAUUAUCAUCUGAAAGUACUCCAUCAUUAUUUACUUCUGAAAAAAAAGUUUUAUUGACAGCUUUUGAACAUUGUGCCGAAUCUCAAAGAUCAAUAGUACCUCAGUUAUUUAAAUGUAGUCCAAAUAAUGAUUAUGAUUGUCGCAUAACUGAUACAGGAAAUAUAAAAAAAAGUAAACUAGGAGAGAAGGAAGCAAAUACUCAGUCAUGAAGGACAAGGACAAAUUUUCGGUUUGGUAUGUCAAGCUAAGGGCUCCCUUCAAGAAUAGUAAUUUUCUUGAUUUGAAAAUAAUCACUAUGUAA